Alligator sinensis (Chinese alligator) is the source of this 1520-nucleotide long non-coding RNA. RefSeq lists it as uncharacterized. The transcript is spliced from 3 exons. The record is from RefSeq and is a predicted model, not a curated record. NCBI's taxonomy places the organism in Eukaryota, Metazoa, Chordata, Crocodylia, Alligatoridae.
GUUUUAGCAUCAAAUACACAGGUUGUCAAUAAUGGUUUUCAAAUUAGUAACAGCUUUCCUAUCAGCACUGCUCUCCUAUCCAAAUACAGGAGACAUUUUGGAAAGAAAUGAAAGAGCAAAACAUAAAUGAGGUUUUGAAUUCCCAGAAGUCCCUGAACAAAAUUUGGGAAGAUUGGACAUAACAGGAAUAUCAAGAACAAAGCUCUUGCCCAGAGACCCAGCUGGGCGAAACUCCAGCAGCAGCAACGGCUCAGGUGGACGGGACCGACUUAGCCUCUCCAAUGUCUCCUCGGACUAGCAAGAGCCGAAUGUCCAUGAAACUACGCCGCUCCUCUGGCUCAGCCAACAAGUCCUAAGUGUUUAGAACCUGCAACUUUCUAAUAAACAAUUAGCAACAGCCCCUCAUAGGCUGACCCACAACUAUCAGUUAAAGAAAAAUGUCCCUGAUGUGCAUGUCCUGUCCCCAGCAUAGCCCUUUCCUGUACAUUUAUUUUAGACAGUGACACUGGAAUUUUAUUUGUAUCUUAAUAUUUUAGCUUUCGUUAUUUUUUUUAUCAAAUUCCAGGCUGCCAUAUUUUUUUUGAGUGCAGUUUCUUUUCUGCACCUUUUACCUUCCAGGAUGAAAAGAUAUCUAAAGUAGCCACUUUUAAUGCUGUGGUUAACCUCAAGCCAUACACGGAACUGGAGACUGCAGUCUUAUACACUAUAUUUAUUGUGUCCCAUCGCAAUUUUCUCUGUAACAAAGAAAUAAAUAUGUACAAUUUGAAAAUGAAUGUACAAUUUUAAAUUGAAGAUGCAUUUGUAAAGUCCUCGUCAAAGGUCAUAUGUUAAUGCACAUGAUGUGUACAGAUUUAUUUAUGUUAUAAGAAUGAAAUACUUAAAGUAAAUGGUCUUUUAGCAUUUCAGAGUCCAAACAAAACAUAACUUGCUAUCAGCACCAACUCUUCCUUCACAAUGCAAUAUAUUAUUUCAUAACUGUGCAGGUGAUGCCAUAAAGUAUACCGGAAAUAAGAAAAAUCACUGUGCUGAAAUUCUGAUUAUGCUUGGCUUCCAAAUAUUUUUCUAAUGUGGUAUCAGUAGUAAAUGCUCUUUUGCUCUGAGUAUGUAGCCUUUUAUCAUCAGGCUGCUGGAUCUAGAUGUAUAUUAUUCUUACAUAAAGAAGCACUUUUCCAAUGUAAAUUCAUUGCUCCAAUGCUGUGUACUGUGGAAGAAAAGGGAACACGCUGUAGGAGUCCGACCUGAAAUGCUGAUGACCCUGACUUUGUGAGCGCAGGUUAGUGCACACAUUCCACCCACCAAGAGGUAUUUUCCUAUAGAAGAUGAAAUGCUUACAUUUUAAGUCGGGCAUAUUCUGCUAUGACAAAACGUAGCAUGGCAUCUGUACUAACUGCAUGUGUAAAUAUAUCAUACGGGCAACAAUAGAAAUAUAAAUUAUGUAUUGUCAUUCAUGUAGUAUCCACAGAUUUGUAAUGGUUAAAGAGAAGACAUGCUAUUUAAUAAUACAAUAAAAUUAUUCUUAC